This 1729-nucleotide long non-coding RNA is filed under the name Medicago truncatula (barrel medic). RNAcentral describes it as "long non-coding RNA (MTRU_LNC006048)". Lineage: Eukaryota; Viridiplantae; Streptophyta; Magnoliopsida; Fabales; Fabaceae. The record is from RNAcentral.
AAUAUUUAUUUACCCAAUUUAGCUUGACUUGUGUUUCGGAGAGAGAGAACUCUCAAAUCUACUUUCAAAAAGUCAUUACAAAGAGAUACAAGAAAUUAACUUCAACAAACUCUUUGGGAGAAAUAUAAUUUCUACCAUUUUUCAUUCUCUUUCCUUGAUAAAGAGAGUUACAAAGUAACCAAUAAAUUUAGCUCUAAAUGGUCUCCACGAACAUUCCCUAAAUUUCUCUUUUACCCUAUUACAAUCACUCAUUGAUUUUCACCCUCAAGGUAUUCCUCAUGUGUUUCACACCCUAGAAUCCCUCUCCAGAAGACACCGACCCUUUUUGAAGAAUCACAUCUUUUAGUUCCCCAAGAUUCCUCCUCUAAUUUCAUGAGAUUUCACAAAUAAGAGUUAGAAAAAACAUAAAUAAAGGUCCAAACCCAUUAUCAUACGCCUAGCACACGACACGAAUGCGCUAGCACAAAACAAGUUAGUUGGCCAUACACCUCGUACAAGAUCCCAUGUGUCUAGCGCAUGGGGUAUAAUUGAAAAUUCUGUUAGAAACGCAAAGACACACGCCUAACGCACAACUCCGUGUGUGAAGCAUAUGAGACAGUGCCAUUACCUAUUUUUGCAAGUUUUUCUCUUUUUGAUGGAUGUUGAAAUAUUCAGUCUCACUUAUACAUAAAGGGAAGGAGAGAGAAGAGAGAAGAUGAUAUUAUUUUCUUAUGAUGUAAAAUUAUAUUUACAUGUGAUCUCUAUUUAUAGAGAAGUACAAUGAUAUGACUUAAGAGUUAAAUACUUAAAGGAUAAAACAAAAUGUGUGUCUUAAGAGAAAAGUAAAAUGAUGUCACUUGAAAGAUAAGUAGAUGGGUACGUGCAGGGGGCGGAGCCACCCCCAGCUAGCCUGGGCACUCACCUCCAACUUUUUUUGUAGCAAGCCCAGCCAUUAUUAGAACUUUUAGCUUUUCCUGCAGAUUUAUCUGCGGAGUUUUGUGUAAAUUCCGCAGGAAACACAUUUCCUGUAGAUUUUGCCAAGGAUUUAGGUUCCCAGGUGAGGUAAUACCUUAGGAUUUUAGGAUCCGCAAGAAAUGUGAAAUUAUCCGCAGGAAAUGUGAAAUUAUCUCCACAAAAUGUGAAAUUAUUGGCAAGAAAAAAGUAACGUUUUACGAUAAAUUUUUUGCUCAGGCUCUAUAAAAUUCCUAACUUGUCACUAGAUACUUGGAAUUCCACUUAUGAUAUUCUUGACAAUAUAUAACAUUUUGUUCUCAAACCAUGAGAAUUCGCCCAAUGUUCUCAAACCAUAUCAAUCACUCUUGGCGGAAACAGCUUUUUGGAAAACGGUAUUGCAUAUAUGGCAAUAAUUUAAUAUUUAUACAUCUUGUAUUACAAAACAGCCAAAUUACUACUCCCUCCGUCCUCAAUACUUAAUUUAUUUGACCAUUUCACACCGAUUAAGAAAAGUGUAAAGAUAAAAGAAAGAUAAUGAUAUUUUUACUGAAUUGUCCUUGUUAAUUAUUUUGAAACCUUCAUUUUUAAGUAAUGAUUAUUUUCUUUGUUCCACUACAAACUUUUACAUUGAGACCACAAAAAGUAUUUAUAAGGGGUGAAUUUGUCAAAUUCUGCUUAGAAAUUUGAGAAGGUCAAAUAUUGUGAGACAUAUAUUUUUUCCAAAUAAGUUAAGUAUUGAGGGACGGAUGGAGUAAUAUAUAUAUAUAUAAUAAUAAUAAUAAUAAUAAUGUACAUU